CCUACGGGAGGCAGCAGUGAGGAAUAUUGGUCAAUGGGCGCGAGCCUGAACCAGCCAAGUCGCGUGAGGGAAGACGGUCCUAUGGAUUGUACACCUCUUUUGUCGUGGAGCAAAAGACGCCACGCGUGGCGUUCCGAGAGUACCCGAAGAAAAAGCAUCGGCUAACUCCGUGCCAGCAGCCGAGGGAAUACGGAGUCGGCGAGCGUCAUCCGGAUUUUUUGGGUUUAAAGGAUGCGCAGGCGGAAGAUCAAGUCAGCGGUAAAAUUGAGAGGCUCAACCUCUUCGAGCCGUUGACACUGGGUAUAGUGAGUGAGCGAGAGGUAUGCGGAAUGCGUGGUGUAGCGGUGAAAUGCAUAGAUAUCACGCAGAACUCCGAUUGCGAAGGCAGCAUACCGGCGCUCAACUGACGCUCAUGCACGAAAGUGUGGGUAUCGAACAGGAUUAGAUACCCGAGUAGUC
This 459-nucleotide ribosomal RNA is filed under the name uncultured bacterium. Its description in RNAcentral is "partial 16S ribosomal RNA". It matches the Rfam family "Bacterial small subunit ribosomal RNA", at positions 338 to 795 of the family's 1533-position model. The record is from RNAcentral.